Molecule: ribosomal RNA, 449 nt
Filed under: uncultured bacterium
Lineage: Bacteria
Description: partial 16S ribosomal RNA
Rfam family: Bacterial small subunit ribosomal RNA
Source: RNAcentral
AGCGAACGUUGGCGGCAGGCUUAACACAUGCAAGUCGAACGCCCUAGCAAUAGGGAGUGGCAGACGGGUGAGUAACACGUGGGAACCUUCCCUAUAGUACGGAAUAGCCCAGGGAAACUUGGAGUAAUACCGUAUACGCCCGAGAGGGGAAAGAUUUAUCGCUAUAGGAUGGGCCCGCGUCGGAUUAGCUAGUUGGUGAGGUAAUGGCUCACCAAGGCAACGAUCCGUAGCUGGUUUGAGAGAAUGACCAGCCACACUGGGACUGAGACACGGCCCAGACUCCUACGGGAGGCAGCAGUGGGGAAUCUUGGACAAUGGGCGCAAGCCUGAUCCAGCCAUGCCGCGUGAGUGAUGAAGGCCUUAGGGUUGUAAAGCUCUUUUGGCGGGGACGAUAAUGACGGUACCCGCAGAAUAAGUCCCGGCUAACUUCGUGCCAGCCGCCGCGGUAA